UACAGAGGGUGCAAGCGUUGUUCGGAUUUACUGGGCGUAAAGCGUGCGCAGGCGGUUCUGAAAGUCAGCUGUGAAGGCCCCGGGCUUAACCUGGGAAUUGCGGUUGAAACUACAGGGCUAGAAUCUGGCAGAGGGGGGUGGAAUUCCACGUGUAGCAGUGAAAUGCGUAGAGAUGUGGAGGAACACCGAUGGCGAAGGCAGCCCCCUGGGCUGAGAUUGACGCUCAGGCACGAAAGCGUGGGGAGCAAACAGG
RNAcentral lists this ribosomal RNA (253 nucleotides) under uncultured bacterium. Its description in RNAcentral is "partial 16S ribosomal RNA". It matches the Rfam family "Bacterial small subunit ribosomal RNA", at positions 524 to 776 of the family's 1533-position model. The record is from RNAcentral.